Molecule: long non-coding RNA, 703 nt
Filed under: Danio rerio (zebrafish)
Lineage: Eukaryota; Metazoa; Chordata; Actinopteri; Cypriniformes; Danionidae
Description: lncRNA (ENSDARG00000117499.1)
Source: RNAcentral
UUCCUUAACCUGAACCAGGCAGUAAUGUCUUGUGUGCUUUUUUUUUUUUCUCCACAGCUGGUUUGAUCCAUGUAAUUCAUGCAGUGACCUUCAGUAUUAAGAGAAGAUGGGGGAAAAAAAGGCCCUGCAAACAGAUACAGCCAUUAUUUCCACGCUAUGCCAAGGUUGCUGUAAGAACAAUCCACUUCAGAAAGGAAAAUGGGGCGUAUGGUGUCAGAAGGUCAUUUCUCCUUCAGUGUGACUUCAGGCAGAUCUACUGACCCAAACACUGUAUCUCCAGUAUUUCUCUUCGCUCCCUGUGGAGAUGAGGAAAAAAAAAACAGCUCUUUCUCUCUCACGUUCUUUUUCCUGGAUCUGGAAAAAUCAGAAAUCUGUCUGAUAGAAAGACAAAGAGUGUGAGUCAAUGCCAAUUAUAUAUAUGCAUAUUUUUUUAGCAGUUUUAUAAAUGACAGAUGUACAGUUCUGACAGGCCACCCUUGAACUCAAUGCAACGUUUAUAGUCACUUGAAUAAUGACAAACGCAAUAAUUCUUUAGACAACAAUGGCAGCCGAGCAUGAAAGCACCUUUGUCACUAAAUGGAGCUAUUUAUAGAUUUUGUUUCAUUAAAACUAAUUCACAGCCUGCGCGGUGCGGCUUCUUUGAUAUAUUAACAAAAUGCACAAUAUAUUUAACAAGAAAAUGCGCAAUCUAUGCAUUUUUCUG